AUGCAAAGUGUCAAAAAAUGGCAGAACAAGAACUUGAACAGAACUAACUUCAAAGAUACAUACAUUUAUGUCUUGCCAACAGAACUACCUACUGAUCUUCUCUAUAUACAACACGGAGACAUGAGCAGGAAAUUGCUAAGGCAUAAGCAUCCUGGGUGCCUGAGCUUCGUACAGGAAAAUGAUGCAAACAGUCAGGCAAAGAUCUGUGGACAGAGCUAUUGA
Molecule: long non-coding RNA, 222 nt
Filed under: Macaca mulatta (Rhesus monkey)
Lineage: Eukaryota; Metazoa; Chordata; Mammalia; Primates; Cercopithecidae
Description: lncRNA (ENSMMUG00000040792.2)
Source: RNAcentral